This 255-nucleotide unclassified non-coding RNA is filed under the name Hevea brasiliensis (rubber tree). Lineage: Eukaryota; Viridiplantae; Streptophyta; Magnoliopsida; Malpighiales; Euphorbiaceae. The record is from RNAcentral.
GCAAGGGAUUGCCGACGCCGGUCUAUCGUGAGGUCGAACGGACCGGCCCGCACCACGAUCCGCAGUUUCGCGUCGCGGUGGAAUUGCCGGGACUGACUCCGGCGGGGCAGCAAGCGUGCCGCGGAGAAGCUUGCGGCGACAGCGCUGCUGAAGCGGGAAGGCGUAACGGGCGGCAAUGAUGCCUGACGAACUGCAAGAGAAUUCACCCCGCGAGACGCGCUGCGGCUUCGUCGCGCUGAUCGGCGCGCCGAAUGU